This 389-nucleotide ribosomal RNA is filed under the name uncultured bacterium. Its description in RNAcentral is "bacterial SSU rRNA". It matches the Rfam family "Bacterial small subunit ribosomal RNA", at positions 30 to 416 of the family's 1533-position model. The record is from RNAcentral.
AUUGAACGCUGGCGGCAUGCCUUACACAUGCAAGUCGAACGGCAGCACGGGAGCAAUCCUGGUGGCGAGUGGCGAACGGGUGAGUAAUAUAUCGGAACGUGCCCAGUCGUGGGGGAUAACGUAGCGAAAGCUACGCUAAUACCGCAUACGAUCUAUGGAUGAAAGACGGGGGAGUCGCAAGACCUCGCGCGAUUGGAGCGGCCGAUAUCAGAUUAGGUAGUUGGUGGGGUAAAGGACCUACCAAGCCUUCGAUCUGUAGCUGGUCUGAGAGGACGACCAGCCACACUGGAACUGAGACACGGUCCAGACUCCUACGGGAGGCAGCAGUGGGGAAUUUUGGACAAUGGGCGCAAGCCUGAUCCAGCAAUGCCGCGUGCAGGAUGAAGGCC